AACAUCGCGCACCUGCGGGAACCUGCGGAAGGAUCAUUACCGAGUGAGGGCCCUCCGGGUCCAACCUCCCACCCGUGUUUAACGAACCUUGUUGCUUCGGCGGGCCCGCCUCACGGCCGCCGGGGGGCACCCCGCCCCCGGGCCCGCGCCCGCCGAAGACACCUGUGAACGCUGUCUGAAGUUGCAGUCUGAGACACUAGCUCAAUCAGUUAAAACUUUUAGCAACGGAUCUCAGAUCGG
RNAcentral lists this unclassified non-coding RNA (240 nucleotides) under soil metagenome. RNAcentral describes it as "partial contains 5.8S ribosomal RNA, internal transcribed spacer 2, and large subunit ribosomal RNA". The record is from RNAcentral.